UACGGAGGGUGCAAGCGUUAUCCGGAUUCACUGGGUUUAAAGGGUGCGUAGGUGGGUUGGUAAGUCAGUGGUGAAAUCCCCGAGCUUAACUUGGGAACUGCCAUUGAUACUAUCAGUCUUGAAUACCGUGGAGGUCGGCGGAAUAUGUCAUGUAGCGGUGAAAUGCUUAGAUAUGACAUAGAACACCAAUUGCGAAGGCAGCUGACUACGCGAGUAUUGACACUGAGGCACGAAAGCGUGGGGAGCAAACAGG
This 253-nucleotide ribosomal RNA is filed under the name uncultured bacterium. RNAcentral's name for it is "partial 16S ribosomal RNA". It matches the Rfam family "Bacterial small subunit ribosomal RNA", at positions 524 to 776 of the family's 1533-position model. The record is from RNAcentral.